AAUCAACGCUGGCGGCGUGCCUCAGACAUGCAAGUCGAACGAUUAAAGCUCUCUUCGGAGAGUGUAUAGAGUGGCGCACGGGUGAGUAACACGUAAGUAAUCUACCUUUGAGUGGGGAAUAACCCGGGGAAACCCGAGCUAAUACCGCAUAAUGCAGCGGCAUCGCAAGAUGACAGUUGUUAAAGGAGCAAUCCGCUUAAAGAGGAGCUUGCGGCAGAUAGCUAGUUGGUAAGGUAAUGGCUUACCAAGGCUACGAUCUGUAUCCGGUCUAAGAGGACGGUCGGACACACUGACACUGAAUAACGGGUCAGACUCCUACGGGAGGCAGCAGUCGGGAAUUUUGGGC
Molecule: ribosomal RNA, 346 nt
Filed under: uncultured bacterium
Lineage: Bacteria
Description: bacterial SSU rRNA
Rfam family: Bacterial small subunit ribosomal RNA
Source: RNAcentral